AUUGAACGCUGGCGGCAUGCUUUACACAUGCAAGUCGGACGGCAGCGGGGUAGUGCUUGCACUACUGCCGGCGAGUGGCGAACGGGUGAGUAAUAUAUUGGAACGUACCGAGUAAUGGGGGAUAACCAAUCGAAAGAUUGGCUAAUACCGCAUACGCUCUGAGGAGGAAAGCAGGGGACCUUCGGGCCUUGCGUUAUUCGAGCGGCCAAUAUCUGAUUAGCUAGUUGGUGGGGUAAAGGCCUACCAAGGCGACGAUCAGUAGCGGGUCUGAGAGGAUGAUCCGCCACACUGGGACUGAGACACGGCCCAGACUCCUACGGGAGGCAGCAGUGGGGAAUUUUGGACAAUGGGCGCAAGCCUGAUCCAGCCAUGCCGCGUGUCUGAAGAAGGCCUUCGGGUUGUAAAGGACUUUUGUUAGGGAAGAAAAAGGAGCGGUUAAUACCCGUUUCUGCAGACGUACCUAAAGAAUAAGCACC
This 476-nucleotide ribosomal RNA is filed under the name Neisseria elongata. Its description in RNAcentral is "bacterial SSU rRNA". It matches the Rfam family "Bacterial small subunit ribosomal RNA", at positions 30 to 494 of the family's 1533-position model. The record is from RNAcentral. Lineage: Bacteria; Pseudomonadati; Pseudomonadota; Betaproteobacteria; Neisseriales; Neisseriaceae.